RNAcentral lists this ribosomal RNA (377 nucleotides) under Perisphaerus sp. 2 FL-2017. RNAcentral describes it as "partial 16S ribosomal RNA". Lineage: Eukaryota; Metazoa; Arthropoda; Insecta; Blattodea; Blaberidae. The record is from RNAcentral.
CUUUUCUUGUUUUUAAUAUGAAAUAUUACCUGCCCAAUGAUUAAAAUUAAAUGGCCGCGGUAUACUGACCGUGCAAAGGUAGCAUAAUAAUUAGUGUUUUAAUUGGAGACUGGAAUGAAUGGUUAAACGAGAUAAAAUCUGUCUUGGUUUUAUUAAUUUGAAUUUAAUUAUUAAGUUAAAAAGCUUAAAUUUUUUUAUGGGACGAUAAGACCCUAUAGAAUUUGAUAAUUUUUUUUAUAUCUAGUUUGAGUUUUAAUUUAUAUAAUAAAUUAUUUAAUUGGGGUGAUAUUAAGAUAAAAGUAACUCUUAUUUUAUUAUAAAUAUAUAUAUAUAUAACUAUAUUGAUCCAAUAAUGAUGAUUAGAAGAUAAAAUUACC